This is a long non-coding RNA of Cynara cardunculus var. scolymus (artichoke), 1784 nucleotides long. RefSeq lists it as uncharacterized. The transcript has 6 exons. The record is from RefSeq and is a predicted model, not a curated record. Lineage: Eukaryota; Viridiplantae; Streptophyta; Magnoliopsida; Asterales; Asteraceae.
AACCCUCAAGAACUCUCCCAAUCAUCAUCAAUGCCUAUUUUUCUUGUCACUUUCUCCGUGCCCUACCAGUUUUCUUCACACACUGUGAAACUCGCACUCUCACCAGUUCGUUGCAAAAUACUCUUGGGUGUUGAUGGUUUUGCUUUGUGUUUUGAGUUGGGAUUCUGGUGGGCAGCUUGGAUUUAUACUUUUCCAAAGAAUGCAAAGAUGCUCUUGCAGCUUAAUUUGUUCUUGUUAGUAUGAAUUUCGAAGAAAGGGAACCAUUAACCGGAGUUGGUAUUCUUUUCGGCUUCUUCAUUGGGGCAUCCUUUCCGGUCUGGAUAGCUAGCUGAUCUAACUGAAGAAGAUAGCUAGCGAAUCGUUGGCACUUGUAUUUUCCUCCUUGACACUAUUCUUUUAACCUCUCAUUUCUGAAUUGCCAUUGUAUGUAAGCUUGCAUGAUGAGAUUGUGCUUUGUCUGUAGGUUCGUUUGGUGCCAAACAUCGUGGUUCAAUUAUUGCAGUUAUGAUGUGUGCUGGUUCUAUAUAAUCCUUGUGAUCGCAUUUUGAUUUCUACAUCUUCCAUCAUCUUAAAGACCUCUUUUGCUUAUUUGCUAAUGGGUCUACAAAAGCACAUUCAGGUCAACUGGACCAUUGUCUUUCCUUCACGAUCCUAUGACGUUCACUUUAUAAAGAAGGUCUACAAAAGCACAUUCAGGUCAACUGGACCAUUGUCUUUCCUGGACGAUCCUAUGACGUUCACUUUAUAAAGAAGGCCUACAAAAGCACAUUCAGGUCAACUGGACCAUUGUCUUUCCUGGACGAUCCUAUGACUUUCACUUUAUAAAGAAGGGUGUUCCUCGUGGUUCAAAAAUGCAGUGUUCUGAUGAAUCAAUUGGAUAUAAGAUUUCUACUACAACGUGAGGUACGUUCACAAACUAAUUGAUAACUUCAACAACCAUAACCUCCCCUGUUUAUGCUUCUCCUUCACCGACUUGACCAUCUACGCCAACAUGUAACGACUUGCGAAUCAAAAGGACCAUUCUGCCCUCCCUACUUCUUGAGUUCGUAAAAUAUAUAUGUGGCUUACUAUUACCUGCCCGCCAUACAUCCACCUUGUCUCCAACUCCAUAUGUUUUUAUUUAACUACGGUGGAAUAAUCUUGCAUGAAUGACAUGACCCAAUAGCUCUCCGUAAUUGAGAAACAUGAAACACCUGAUGGAUCUUAGUUUUUGGCUUUUUGCUGCCACCACUACUCUCUCUGUGCACAAGACUUGAAAUGGUCCAUAAACCGGGCUGCUAGCUUCACUUGAAACACCUGAUGGAUCUUAGUUUUGUGGUGUCUUGUCGAUUUUUUUUGUUUAUCGUAGAGUAAGCUAGCAUUUUGUAGGUUGUUUUUCUGUGAUUUUACUUCGUUUACCAUCCUAUAUACUCCUGCCUUGUCCAUCGAUGGGAGUUACGUGGCUAAAGGUGACCGAGUUUACGGGUGUUGGGUCAUUCCGAGUCCCAAGGUCUUGGAUUUAGCUUUUGACUUCCAUUUAUCCAUUCAUUAUGGUUUUUUUAGAAUGGUUUUGAGAUUCAAUUGUCCAUGGAUUAUUUGAUCUUUCUGAGUUCAAGGUCAUGGAUUUACCUUUCUACUUCCAUUUAACCAUUGAUUGUCGUUUCUUUCUAAUGGUUUUGAGAAUUGAUUAAUUUUAAUUUGUCUACAGAUUGUAGUAUUUAGUUUUGUGGUGCGUUUCCCAUUUUUGUUGUUUGUCGUAAAGUAAAUUAGUAGGUGAGGAGGGGUGUGAGUUUAUUUGUUGCAUU